This 254-nucleotide ribosomal RNA is filed under the name uncultured bacterium. Its description in RNAcentral is "partial 16S ribosomal RNA". It matches the Rfam family "Bacterial small subunit ribosomal RNA", at positions 524 to 776 of the family's 1533-position model. The record is from RNAcentral.
UACGUAUGGAGCAAGCGUUAUCCGGAUUUACUGGGUGUAAAGGGUGCGCAGGUGGCAUGGUAAGUCAGAAGUGAAAACCCGGGGCUCAACCCCGCGGAUUGCUUUUGAAACUAUCAGGCUGGAGUCCGGGAGAGGUAAGCGGAAUUCCUAGUGUAGCGGUGAAAUGCGUAGAUAUUAGGAGGAACACCAGUGGCGAAGGCGGCUUACUGGACCGGGACUGACACUGAGGCACGAAAGCGUGGGGAGCAAACAGG